This 324-nucleotide ribosomal RNA is filed under the name uncultured eukaryote. Its description in RNAcentral is "partial 18S ribosomal RNA". It matches the Rfam family "Eukaryotic small subunit ribosomal RNA", at positions 1470 to 1796 of the family's 1831-position model. The record is from RNAcentral.
CCCUUAGAUGUUCUGGACUGCACGCGCGCUACACUGAAGCUAUCAACACGUUUUCCCUCCCUGAGAAGGGCGGGUAACCUUUUGAAUCAGCUUCGUGGUAGGGAUCGGGGCUUGCAAUUGUUCCCCGUGAACCAGGAAUUCCUAGUAGACGCGAGUCAUAAGCUCGCAUCGAUUAAGUCCCUGCCCUUUGUACACACCGCCCGUCGCUACUACCGAUUGAACGUUUUAGUGAGGCAUUUGGACCGACGCAUCUCAGUUUAACCGCUGGUUUGUGUUGGAAAGACUUCCAAACUUGAGCGUUUAGAGGAAGUAAAAGGCGUAACA